UCCUUCAAUGCUUUUAAUCAAGCAUUCAGAUAGCACAAAAGUCUCUGUCUCGCUGUCUCCCUAUCCCGUUCUCUCUCUCUCCCUCUCUCUCUCUCUCUCUCUCUAUCUCUCUCUCUUCCUUGUUCUCUGGUGGCCUUUCGCUGAACCGAGCAUAGAGGAAGGAUAGCUUCAGCUUAGUUAUACGAUGGGGCGGGAUCGAAGAAGAAAAGGAGGAAAACCAUUCUUGUGAUGGGUGAGGUGGUUCUGUGCUAUGCUUGGCAACAGAGCAGUCUUUUGCAGACAAUGAAUCAGAGAGCAUGCGCAAAGGACUGCUCAUUUGACAAGGGUUCGCACAGAACUUGACACCCUUUUAGUUUUAAUUUUUGACUUUCUUUGCCUGGUUUAUCCAAUUAUAUGGGAUUGACACCAUUGUUUUGAGGUA
Molecule: non-coding RNA, 421 nt
Organism: Punica granatum (pomegranate)
Lineage: Eukaryota; Viridiplantae; Streptophyta; Magnoliopsida; Myrtales; Lythraceae
Source: RefSeq, a predicted model, not a curated record